RNAcentral lists this ribosomal RNA (460 nucleotides) under uncultured bacterium. RNAcentral describes it as "partial 16S ribosomal RNA". It matches the Rfam family "Bacterial small subunit ribosomal RNA", at positions 338 to 795 of the family's 1533-position model. The record is from RNAcentral.
CCUACGGGAGGCAGCAGUGAGGAAUAUUGGUCAAUGGACGAGAGUCUGAACCAGCCAAGUAGCGUGAAGGAUGACUGCCCUAUGGGUUGUAAACUUCUUUUAUAUGGGAAUAAAAUGUUCCACGUGUGGGAUUUUGUAUGUACCAUAUGACUAAGGAUCGGCUAACUCCGUGCCAGCAGCCGCGGUAAUACGGAGGAUCCGAGCGUUAUCCGGAUUUAUUGGGUUUAAAGGGAGCGUAGGUGGAUUGUUAAGUCAGUUGUGAAAGGUUGCGGCUCAACCGUAAAAUUGCAGUUGAAACUGGCAGUCUUGAGUACAGUAGAGGUGGGCGGAAUUCGUGGUGUAGCGGUGAAAUGCUGAGAUAUCACGAAGAACUCCGAUUGCGAAGGCAGCUCACUGGACUGCAACUGACACUGAGGCUCGAAAGUGUGGGUAUCAAACAGGAUUAGAUACCCCUGUAGUC